GCGGGCGUGGCGGAACGGUAGACGCGCCGGACUUAGGAUCCGGUGGGCCAUCCCGUGGGGGUUCGAAUCCCUCCGCCCGCACCA
RNAcentral lists this transfer RNA (84 nucleotides) under Bacillota bacterium. RNAcentral's name for it is "Firmicutes bacterium (sediment metagenome) tRNA-Leu". It matches the Rfam family "tRNA". Rfam says of the family: Transfer RNA (tRNA) molecules are approximately 80 nucleotides in length. Their secondary structure includes four short double-helical elements and three loops (D, anti-codon, and T loops). The record is from RNAcentral. Lineage: Bacteria; Bacillati; Bacillota.